UUGAUGUAUGAGUUCAAGAGG
This 21-nucleotide microRNA is filed under the name Picea abies (Norway spruce). RNAcentral's name for it is "pab-miR11566". The record is from miRBase by way of RNAcentral. Lineage: Eukaryota; Viridiplantae; Streptophyta; Pinopsida; Pinales; Pinaceae.